RNAcentral lists this ribosomal RNA (310 nucleotides) under uncultured bacterium. RNAcentral describes it as "bacterial SSU rRNA". It matches the Rfam family "Bacterial small subunit ribosomal RNA", at positions 29 to 327 of the family's 1533-position model. The record is from RNAcentral.
AACGAACGCUGGCGGCGCGCCUAAUACAUGCAAGUCGAGCGAGAAGACGUAGCAAUACGUUUGUAAAGCGGCGAACGGGUGAGGAAUACAUGGGUAACCUACCCUCGAGUGGGGAAUAACUAGACCGAAAGGUUAGCUAAUACCGCAUACGCUUCCCGGACUGCGGUUCGGGAAAGAAAGCGAUACCGUGGGUAUCGCGCUCUUGGAUGGGCUCAUGUCCUAUCAGCUUGUUGGUGAGGUAAUGGCUCACCAAGGCUUCGACGGGGUAGCUGGUCUGAGAGGACGAUCAGCCACACUGGCACUGCGACAC